GAUCCCACCUCGGGGUGCUCUGAGAGCUGAGAUGCGCACGCGAACCCGUUGAACCUGAACCGGUUAGAACCGGCGGAGGAAAGGUCGACACUCCCAAG
Molecule: non-coding RNA, 98 nt
Filed under: Tropicimonas sediminicola
Lineage: Bacteria; Pseudomonadati; Pseudomonadota; Alphaproteobacteria; Rhodobacterales; Roseobacteraceae
Description: TPP sequence
Rfam family: TPP riboswitch aptamer (THI element)
About the family: Vitamin B(1) in its active form thiamin pyrophosphate (TPP) is an essential coenzyme that is synthesised by coupling of pyrimidine and thiazole moieties in bacteria.
Source: Rfam by way of RNAcentral